This 442-nucleotide ribosomal RNA is filed under the name Glaesserella parasuis. RNAcentral describes it as "partial 23S ribosomal RNA". It matches the Rfam family "Bacterial large subunit ribosomal RNA", at positions 1321 to 1764 of the family's 2925-position model. The record is from RNAcentral. Lineage: Bacteria; Pseudomonadati; Pseudomonadota; Gammaproteobacteria; Pasteurellales; Pasteurellaceae.
GUGAAAAACUCGUUCGCCGGAAGACCAAGGGUUCCUGUCCAACGUUAAUCGGGGCAGGGUGAGUCGGCCCCUAAGGCGAGGCUGAAAAGCGUAGUCGAUGGGAAACGGGUUAAUAUUCCCGUACUUGUCUUCAUUGCGAUGUGGGGACGGAGAAGGUUAGGUUAGCAGACUGUUGGAUGUCUGUUUAAGUUGGUAGGUGGGGAGCUUAGGCAAAUCCGGGCUCCUAUUAACACUGAGAGAUGAUGACGAGUUUCUACGGAAAUGAAGUAACUGAUACCACGCUUCCAGGAAAAGCCACUAAGCUUCAGAUGAAGAUAAACCGUACUGAAAACCGACACAGGUGGUCAGGUAGAGAAUACUCAGGCGCUUGAGAGAACUCGGGUGAAGGAACUAGGCAAAAUAGCACCGUAACUUCGGGAGAAGGUGCGCUGGCGUAGGUUGU